UACGGGGGGGGCAAGCGUUGCUCGGAAUUACUGGGCGUAAAGCGCGUGUAGGCGGCCCUGCAAGUCGGAUGUGAAAUCCCACGGCUCAACCGUGGAAGUGCAUUCGAAACUGCAGGGCUAGAGUCCUGGAGAGGAAGGUGGAAUGCUUGGUGUAGAGGUGAAAUUCGUAGAUAUCAAGCGGAACACCGGUGGCGAAGGCGGCCUUCUGGACAGUGACUGACGCUGAGACGCGAAAGCGUGGGGGGCAAACAGG
RNAcentral lists this ribosomal RNA (253 nucleotides) under uncultured bacterium. RNAcentral's name for it is "partial 16S ribosomal RNA". It matches the Rfam family "Bacterial small subunit ribosomal RNA", at positions 524 to 776 of the family's 1533-position model. The record is from RNAcentral.